RNAcentral lists this long non-coding RNA (1553 nucleotides) under Medicago truncatula (barrel medic). RNAcentral describes it as "long non-coding RNA (MTRU_LNC004405)". Lineage: Eukaryota; Viridiplantae; Streptophyta; Magnoliopsida; Fabales; Fabaceae. The record is from RNAcentral.
GACACAGUUUUGAAGAGACAGACAAGACAUUGGAGUAUUGGGCACGUAGUGGCUCGUGCUACAUCAUAGAAAUCCUCUUUGGAGAUAACGCCGUUGGGAGACGUACCGGAACCAUGGCUGAGGGUAGAUAGCUAAUCAACUUACUGGGGAUAGAAUUCUGGAAGACCCGACUGGGGAUAACGCCGUUAUGCUGGGCAUUUCAGUGCUGGGUACGUCGUAGAUAUCGCAUCUAUGGUCAAUGCUUUUUGCAUGUUAUAUUCUUAUUUUUCACAUCCCAUUUUUGCCUGAACCGCCCUUUCGGGUUUUCGAUCCACCGGGAAAAUAGAUUCUUUUCUUGCCCCAUUUUUGCCUGAACUGCCCUUUUGGGGUUGUCAAUCCAGCGGGGUGCUCAUUUUUGCCUAAGUCGCCCUUUCGGGUUUUCAACUUAGCGAGCUCAUUUAUUUUCAUGCAUUUUCAUUUUGUUUUUUCAUUCUUGCCAUUGACCACAGACUAUCCUGGGGAAGAGCCUGUUUGUAACACAUAUUGAAAUAGACAUCAACAUACUCUCGCUCAUGCAUGUUUCAUUUGAAUGUACCCUGUUGCUCAGGUUUGCUUUUCAAAAUAGACAAAAAGUUUUCAAUUUUCAAAAUGUUUGUUUCAAGCAUUGUCAUUAUCAAAAUAGAAAGAAAAUGUUUUGUAUAUAGCUUUGAAAGUAGAAGAAAAAAUAGAGUUUCAAACAAAAGCACAAGCUCAAAUUGAUGUAUAAGAGUGGUGGUCAGCCGAAGGCGUGACUCCACGGAUUCACAAAGCUUGGAAAAUGGUAAUUUUAUUGGUUGGUGGUACAUUGAACACAGUAAUCACUACAUUUCCUGGAAAUUUUGAAUUCACAAGCACAGAAGCUUCAGAUGAAGAUGGUCAUUAACAGCUGCAGAUGCCCCAAGGGGAUGGUGGUUGGCCAGAUAUAGUUACUUGCCUUUUGUUUCAAUCUCAUUUUUGCAUGAACCGCCCUUCCGGGUUUUCGGCUCAUCGAGACGCUCAUUUUUGCCUGAGUUGCGUACAAUCUCAGCGAGCUUUUUCAUAUUUGUUUUUUUUGUCCCUUAUUUUUGCCUGGACCGCCCUUUCGGGUUUUCGAUCCACCGGGAAGCGCAUUUUUGCCUAGGCCGCCCUUUCGGGUUUUCGACCUACCACGCUGUUCUUUUCAUAUAUCUAGGCGAAGUAUUUCUUGACUAUAUCAGCAUUCACAGGAUUUGGAAGUUCAACACCAUCCAUGUGAGUAAGAAUUAAAGCACCACCGGAGAAGGCCUUCUUGACAACAUAAGGACCUUCAUAGUUAGGCGUCCACUUCCCCCUUGGGUCGGGUUGCUGGCUUAUCCUUCUUUUCAAUACAAGUUCACCUUCCUUGAAUUCUCGAGGAUGGACUUUCUUGUCAAAAGCAGUUUUCAUUCUUGCUUGAUAUGACUGUCCACGAGCCAUGGCAUCCAUACGUUUUUCCUCAAUCAAAUUCAACUGAUCAUACCGGCUUUGGCACCAUUCAGCCUCGGAUAACUUUGCUUCCAUGAUCACACGGAGAGAUG